This 255-nucleotide ribosomal RNA is filed under the name uncultured bacterium. RNAcentral's name for it is "partial 16S ribosomal RNA". It matches the Rfam family "Bacterial small subunit ribosomal RNA", at positions 524 to 776 of the family's 1533-position model. The record is from RNAcentral.
UACGUAGGGCGCAAGCGUUAUCCGGAAUUAUUGGGCGUAAAGAGCUCGUAGGCGGUCUGUCGCGUCGAUCGUGAAAACUUGGGGCUUAACCCUGAGCUUGCGGUCGAUACGGGCAUGACUGGAGUUCGGCAGGGGAGGACUGGAAUUCCUGGUGUAGCGGUGAAAUGCGCAGAUAUCAGGAGGAACACCGAUGGCGAAGGCAGGUCUCUGGGCCGAUACUGACGCUGAGGAGCGAAAGCGUGGGGAGCGAACAGG